RNAcentral lists this non-coding RNA (96 nucleotides) under human gut metagenome. The record is from RNAcentral.
CAUUAGGGGAGCUUGCAUCAUACAGGCUGAGAGGAAGGUGAUCCCUUCGACCCAUUGACCUGAUGCGGGUAAUGCCGUCGUAGGGAGGCGGGAAAA